AGGGUUUGAUCAUGGCUCAGAACGUACGCUGGCGGCACGCCUAAUACAUGCAAGUCGAACGAAGUAGCAAUACUUAGUGGCAGACGGGUGAGUAACAUGUAGGUAUCUUCCCUUUGGUGAGGAAUAACACGAGGAAACUUGUGCUAAUACCUCAUAAGUCUUUACGGAGAAAGCUUUAUGCGCCAAUGGAUGAGCCUGCACUUGAUUAGUUUGUUGGUGGGGUAAUGGCCUACCAAGACAAUGAUCAAUAGCUGAUUUGAGAGGAUGAUCAGCCACAUUGGGACUGAGACACGGCCCAAACUCCUACGGGAGGCAGCAGUAGGGAAUCUUGCACAAUGGGGGAAACCCUGAUGCAGCGAUGCCGCGUGAGUGAAGAAGGCCUUUGGGUUGUAAAGCUCUUUCGUCGGGGAAGAAAAUGACUGUACCCGAAUAAGAAGGUCCGGCUAACUUCGUGCCAGCAGCCGCGGUAAUACGAAGGGACCUAGCGUAGUUCGGAAUUACUGGGCUUAAAGAGUUCGUAGGUGGUUAAAAAAGUUGGUGGUGAAAUCCCAGAGCUUAACUCUGGAACUGCCAUCAAAACUUUUUAGCUAGAGUAUGAUAGAGGAAAGCAGAAUUUCUAGUGUAGAGGUGAAAUUCGUAGAUAUUAGAAAGAAUACCAAUUGCGAAGGCAGCUUUCUGGAUCAUUACUGACACUGAGGAACGAAAGCAUGGGUAGCGAAGAGGAUUAGAUACCCUCGUAGUCCAUGCCGUAAACGAUGUGUGUUAGACGUUGGAAAUUUAUUUUCAGUGUCGCAGCGAAAGCAAUAAACACACCGCCUGGGGAGUACGACCGCAAGGUUAAAACUCAAAUGAAUUGACGGGGACCCGCACAAGUAGUGGAGCAUGUGGUUUAAUUCGAAGAUACGCGCAGAACCUUACCAACACUUGACAUGUUCGUCGCGACUUUAAGAGAUUAAAGUUUUCGGUUCGGCCGGACGAAACACAGGUGCUGCAUGGCUGUCGUCAGCUCGUGUCGUGAGAUGUUGGGUUAAGUCCCGCAACGAGCGCAACCCUCACUUUUAGUUGCCAUCAUUUAGUUGGGCACUCUGAAAGAACUGCCAGUGAUAAGCUGGAGGAAGGUGGGGAUGACGUCAAGUCCUCAUGGCCCUUACGUGUUGGGCUACACACGUGCUACAAUGGCAUUUACAAUAGGAAGCAAAACGGCGACGUUAAGCAAAUCCUAAAAAAAUGCCUCAGUUCGGAUUGUACUCUGCAACUCGAGUACAUGAAGCUGGAAUUACUAGUAAUCGCGGAUCAGCGCGCCGCGGUGAAUACGUUCCCGGGUCUUGUACACACCGCCCGUCACACCAUGGGAGUUGGUUCUACCUUAAGGCAAAGGUUAAAAACUUUGACCACGGUAUAGUCAGCGACUGGGGUGAAGUCGUAACAAGGUAGCCGUA
RNAcentral lists this ribosomal RNA (1439 nucleotides) under uncultured bacterium. Its description in RNAcentral is "bacterial SSU rRNA". It matches the Rfam family "Bacterial small subunit ribosomal RNA". The record is from RNAcentral.